This 405-nucleotide unclassified non-coding RNA is filed under the name soil metagenome. Its description in RNAcentral is "partial contains 5.8S ribosomal RNA, internal transcribed spacer 2, and large subunit ribosomal RNA". The stretch from base 1 to 121 matches the Rfam family "5.8S ribosomal RNA", at positions 35 to 154 of the family's 154-position model. The record is from RNAcentral.
GAUGAAGAACGUAGCGAAAUGCGAUAAGUAAUGUGAAUUGCAGAAUUCAGUGAAUCAUCGAAUCUUUGAACGCACCUUGCGCCCUUUGGCCAUUCCGAAGGGCAUGCCUGUUUGAGUAUCAUGAACACCUCAACUCUUUAUGGUUUUCCAUGAUGAGCUUGGACUCUGGGGGUUUUGCUGGCUCACAGUCGGCUCCUCUAAAAUGAAUCAGCUUACCAGUGUUUGGUGGGUAUCAUGGGUGUGAUAACUAUCUACGCUCGUGGUUUUUCCACCAGGUAACCUUCAGCAGUGGAGGUUCGCUGGAGCUCAUAGAUGUCUCUCCUCAGUGAGGACAGCCCUUUGAAUGUUUGAUCUCAAAUCAGGUAGGACUACCCGCUGAACUUAAGCAUAUCAAUAAGCGGAGGA